AAGCGUUAUCCGGAGUUACUGGGCGUAAAGCGCGUGUGGGCGGCCAGAUAGGUCUGUUGUGAAAACUCGAGGCUCAACCUCGAGCUGUCGGCGGAAACCAUCUGGCUAGAGUCCGGAAGAGGAGAGUGGAAUUCCUGGUGUAGCGGUGAAAUGCGCAGAUAUCAGGAAGAACACCUAUGGCGAAGGCAGCUCUCUGGGACGGUACUGACGCUGAGACGCGAAAGCGUGGGGAGCGAACAGG
RNAcentral lists this ribosomal RNA (241 nucleotides) under uncultured bacterium. RNAcentral describes it as "partial 16S ribosomal RNA". It matches the Rfam family "Bacterial small subunit ribosomal RNA", at positions 536 to 776 of the family's 1533-position model. The record is from RNAcentral.